This 866-nucleotide ribosomal RNA is filed under the name uncultured bacterium. Its description in RNAcentral is "bacterial SSU rRNA". It matches the Rfam family "Bacterial small subunit ribosomal RNA", at positions 32 to 914 of the family's 1533-position model. The record is from RNAcentral.
GACGUAGGCGGCAGGCUCAACACAGCAAUCCGAGCGGAGAGGGGAGCUGCUCCUGUUCAGCGGCGGACGGUGAGUAAUGCUAGGAUCGCUGUAGUGGGGGACAACGUUUCGAAAGGAACGCUAAUACCGCAUACGUCCUACGGGAGAAAGCAGGGGACCUUCGGGCCUUGCGCUAUCAGUGAGCCUAGGUCGGAUUAGCUAGUUGGUGAGGUAAUGGCUCACCAAGGCUGCGAUCCGUAACUGGUCUGAGAGGAUGAUCAGUCACACUGGAACUGAGACACGGUCCAGACUCCUACGGGAGGCAGCAGUGGGGAAUAUUGGACAAUGGGCGAAAGCCUGAUCCAGCCAUGCCGCGUGUGUGAAGAAGGUCUUCGGAUUGUAAAGCACUUUAAGUUGGGAGGAAGGGCAGUAAGUUAAUACCUUGCUGUUUGACGUUACCGACAGAAUAAGCACCGGCUAACUUCGUGCCAGCAGCCGCGGUAAUACGAAGGGUGCAAGCGUUAAUCGGAAUUACUGGGCGUAAAGCGCGCGUAGGUGGUUUGUUAAGUUGGAAGUGAAAGCCCCGGGCUCAACCUGGGAACUGCUUUCAAAACUGGCAAGCUAGAGUAUGGCAGAGGGUGGUGGAAUUUCCUGUGUAGCGUGAAAUGCGUAGAUAUAGGAGGGAACACCAGUGGCGAAGGCGACCACCUGGGCUAAUACUGACACUGAGUGCGAAAGCGUGGGGAGCAACAGGAUUAUAUACCCUGUAGUCCACGCCGUAAACGAUGUCGACUAGCCGUUGGGAUCCUUGAGUCUAGUGGCGCAGCUAACGCAUUAAGUCGACCGGCUGGGGAUACGGCCGCAGGUUAAAACUCAGAUGAUUUGAC